Molecule: ribosomal RNA, 491 nt
Filed under: uncultured bacterium
Lineage: Bacteria
Description: partial 16S ribosomal RNA
Rfam family: Bacterial small subunit ribosomal RNA
Source: RNAcentral
AGUGAACGCUGGCGGUAGGCCUAGCACAUGCAAGUCGAACGGCAGCACAGUAAGAGCUUGCUCUUACGGGUGGCGAGUGGCGGACGGGUGAGGAAUACAUCGGAAUCUACUUUUUCGUGGGGGAUAACGUAGGGAAACUUACGCUAAUACCGCAUACGACCUACGGGUGAAAGCAGGGGAUCUUCGGACCUUGCGCGAUUGAAUGAGCCGAUGUCGGAUUAGCUAGUUGGCGGGGUAAAGGCCCACCAAGGCGACGAUCCGUAGCUGGUCUGAGAGGAUGACCAGCCACACUGGAACUGAGACACGGUCCAGACUCCUACGGGAGGCAGCAGUGGGGAAUAUGGGAAAAUGGGCGCAAGCCUGAUCCAGCCAUACCGCGUGGGUGAAGAAGGCCUUCGGGUUGUAAAGCCCUUUUGUUGGGAAAGAAAAGCAGCAGGUUAAUACCCCGCUGUUCUGACGGUACCCAAAGAAUAAGCACCGGCUAACUUCGU